AGAGUUUGAUCCUGGCUCAGGAUGAACGCUGGCGGCAUGCCUAAGACAUGCAAGUCGAACGGAGUGGCCCAUUGAAGAUGGAGUGCUUGCACAAAAUUGGAUUUGGAUUACCACUCAGUGGCAGACGGGUGAGUAACACGUGGGUAACCUACCUCAGAGACUGGGACAACAAUUAGAAAUGAUUGCUAAUACCGGAUGAUUCAUAGAUACAUAAGUAACUGUGCUAAAAGGAGCUUCGGCUUCACUUUGAGAUGGGCUUGCGGUGUAUUAGCUAGUUGGUGGGGCAAUGGCCUACCAAGGCAACGAUGCAUAUCCGAGCUGAGAGGCUGAUCGGACACAUUGGAACUGAGACACGGUCCAGACUCCUACGGGAGACAGCAGUUAGGAAUAUUCGUCAAUGGGGGAAACCCUGAACGAGCAAUGCCGCGUGAGUGAUGAAGGUCUUAUAGAUUGUAAAACUCUGUUGUGAAGAAAGAAACCUUGCCAUAGGUAAUGAUGGUAAGCUGACGGUACUUCACCAGAAAGCCCCGGCUAACUACGUGCCAGCAGCCGCGGUAAUACGUAGGGGGCGAGCGUUAUCCGGAUUUAUUGGGCGUAAAGCGUGUGUAGGCGGUUUAUUAAGUCUAAAAUCAAAGCCUGGGGCUUAACCCCAGUUCGUUUUAGAAACUGGUAGACUUGAGUGUGGUAGAGGCAAAUGGAAUUUCUAGUGUAGCGGUUAAAUGCGUAGAUAUUAGAAGGAACACCAGUGGCGAAGGCGGUUUGCUGGGCCAUUACCGACGCUGAGACACGAAAGCGUGGGGAGCAAAUAGGAUUAGAUACCCUAGUAGUCCACGCCGUAAACGAUGAGUACUAAGUGUCGGGAAACCGGUGCUGAAGUUAACACAUUAAGUACUCCGCCUGAGUAGUACGGUCGCAAGGCUGAAACUCAAAGGAA
Molecule: ribosomal RNA, 934 nt
Filed under: human gut metagenome
Description: bacterial SSU rRNA
Rfam family: Bacterial small subunit ribosomal RNA
Source: RNAcentral